CGAACAUUAGUUUUUUGUUUUUUUUUUUUAUGUUGGUGCCACCAACUGUAAAUGACAUAAGUUAGUUAUUACAAAACACAGUAAUUAGACUGUUGCAACCAUCUAAAACCUUAGGCUUCCAGUCUGUGCUGUUAGUGUUAAGAUGUAAAGUGCAAUCCUACGCUAACAUUAUCUGUGCAAGCACCAUAGAAACAUUUGCAUAUCUGCAUAGAUCUUACAACUGUACUCUUUACCUCCUUGUGAUAAAGCUUUGUCUACCUGCAAACACAGUCAAAGGCUACAGCUGCAAACCAAAGCCAACUCUAACCAUGGCCAACAGCUCAAGGACAGAAGCAGCCACAUGCUUUGGUCAGCCUUCUGUAACUUCAAUUAGUACAAAGGAAUCUUUUCCAUGAACUACCUGCUGUUUUCUGAUGACCUCUGGGAUCUUUUCAUUUAGCCCUAAACAAAGAAACGAAUAUGACAAAAACAAAACAAAACAAAACAAAAAAACCACAACUAAAAGAGUUCACUCAGUCACAGAGUAAUCUUCUGAGGCCAAAAGUCCAUCUAAAUGCAAUGAAGAUUUGCUUUCAUUAAAGACAGAGGUGAGGACAAAAUCUGCAGUGGAAGUUAUGACAUGCUAGAAAGCAACCAACGUGGAUCACUGACCAAAUCAAUUAUGUACUUGAUGCAAAUGCAGAUUGCGUAUUGUUAUAUAUAUAGUACAUUGCGUUUUCGUUCCCCCCCCCAUCUUUUUGGUGGUGAGUACAUGUUGUUAGAAGUACAUGUCUUGUAUGGUCUUAAUCUCUGUUGUGUACUAUUUUUUUAUAGUCUUAAGUUAUAAUAAUAAAAAAAACAAAAGUAGGAACCAAACAUAAAAGGUCUAGUAAAGCCAAAAAUUAAUUUCCUAUUGAUUUUAAAGUGAUCUAGCUGAGUUUUUACACUGAAAGCAAAGAUUAUAGCAAGUGUAGCCCAUGGUAUUUAUUUUCAGUCAAACCAAAGUUACAUAUAAUUCUGCCUCUGCUUAUACGGGAUAUGAACACUAACACACUCCCUUCAAAGACUUGUGCAGGCCAAAUUGUUGGAAUGCUGAUUUUUCUUGACAACUCUAAACCCCAAAACUAUGAUAAUACGUUAUGGUGUAGUUGAAGAUAGCAUAGUCAGAUGUUUGCUUAAAACCUAGAGACUUUAAGUGUCGCUUUUCAUGUGCUGUGCCAAGUCUUGAUAAUACUUUUUCCCCCAACCAAGGGACCUCAUAACCUGAUUAUGGUUAUCGCUUUACAAACAGUUUUGACAGAAGGUGGCUGCUAGAGCUUAACAGAUGUCCCGGCUCCACGUGACGGAACCGGUUCUUGCAAACUAAGCUCAACGUUUUAUCCUUUGCUGAAGUCAGCAAAUAGAGUUAGAGAGAGAUACCCAGUCAUCUAUCACACCAAAUAAAAGGACAUAACGGCUUUCAAAGGGUUUUCCCACUUACCCAAAAGGCUUUCUGAAAGCUUCUACCUCUGCAAAAAAGAAAAAAGAAAAAAAAAAGGAAAAAAAAACAAGAAAAAAAACAAGAAAAAAAAAGAGAAAAAAAGUUAGAACAAUUAACGGCAGAUUGCAUGAAACAUGAGAACGUCACAGUACCUGCUACUUUUCAUUAUGUUUGUCUUUGGGUCAUGAUCAACGAACCGGAAGUUAUUGAUAUGGUAUCAAAGGAGAGGUUGGUAUUCUGAAGGAUGGUUCUCUGAUGUCUAGGAUACUGCUGUAAGGGUAAUCUGGAAGGCGAACGAGCCUUUCAGGUGCAGGUUCAAAAGGCUUUGAUGGACUGGAAGUAAACUUGGAGAGGUGUUCCAUCGGGGGCGGCCUAAGACUGCAAUGCUAAAGUAUGCUUACCUCAGUUUCAAAACUUUUGAAAGGAAGUCUCAGCCACAGAAUGCAUAUACCUGUAGAGUUUUGCAUGGGUUUUUUUUAUGAAUACAAUUUUAAAAAAGAAAAUAGCUGCUUGCACAUUAUACCAGAAAAACCUCCAAAACUGCAAUUGCUUUGAAAAUAGAGUUUAGGUUUUUUGGAGUUUUCUGAAAUGCUUGGUCUGUAUUUUGAUAAUUGUGCAUAUUAUGUAAAAAUGUUGGUGGACCCAUAAAUGACCAGACUUUUUCUAAGAAAAAAAAUGUUGCUUUAAUGCAUUUCAUGGAUUUUUACUCUUCUCUCAUUGCUUGCUAGGAAUAGCAAACCUGCUUUUCUGCAUCUGCUUUGCGUAGCUAUUGUAAGGCUUUGAACUAAUGUAUGUAUUUAUUGCUUGAACUUCUGUGCAUACCUUAUAAAGCAUAAUGUCUGACAAUUUAAAUGGCUCAUGUAUUCUUGCUUCCACCCUAAGCUGACGAUGGGGGCUAUGAUCUUUUGUAUACAGCAAAUUUUAACUGUAGCACAAACAUCUGUUUAUGUAUUGGUGGGAAUAUACCUGUUUUAUUUAUCUUCUUUGAGGUAAACUAAUUUUUGAUACUUUUCAUUACUGUGUACUAUGUUCAUACUUUGAAUUCUCUGACGUUAGAAGUCAUGGUUGAGAAUUGUAACAGCUGUUAUUUGUUCUGUAUUCAUGGCUUUCACUGCUGAAUAAAAUAAAGGACCAAACCUAGGAUUUGAAAGAAAACUGCCUACCUCUAACACCAGGGAGUUACCAGAUUCUAUUUUACAUAGUUUUAGUCUACAAAGACACAAUUGCUUAAACCUAGUGGGCUUAAGACUUAUAUUCUAUGUGUUGGGUUCAUGGCACCAUUGUAUUGUUUGAAAAUCAAUUAAAAUUCUAUGUGACUGUU
This 2780-nucleotide long non-coding RNA is filed under the name Rattus norvegicus (Norway rat). RNAcentral describes it as "long non-coding RNA NONRATT020253". The record is from RNAcentral. Lineage: Eukaryota; Metazoa; Chordata; Mammalia; Rodentia; Muridae.